This 129-nucleotide small nuclear RNA is filed under the name Jaculus jaculus (lesser Egyptian jerboa). RNAcentral's name for it is "U4 spliceosomal RNA (ENSJJAG00000006943.1)". It matches the Rfam family "U4 spliceosomal RNA". From Rfam's summary of the family: U4 small nuclear RNA (U4 snRNA) is a component of the major U2-dependent spliceosome. Lineage: Eukaryota; Metazoa; Chordata; Mammalia; Rodentia; Dipodidae. The record is from Rfam by way of RNAcentral.
AGCUUUGUGCAGUGGCAGUAUCGUAGCCAAUGAGGUUUAUGCGAGGCGCGAUUAUUGCUAAUUGAAAAAAAAAAAAAACAGCACAGAGUAUUUAUCCAAGAGUAGGUAUUAUGCCAAUCAGAUCCUCUG